GAUACUUGACUGACCAAGAGUUAGACAGUCUAUGGCUCUGAUCAUUGUCCAAAACCCUUACCUCUGGGCACUAAUCCUUUGUUGAGGUUAGACAGAUGCCUAUGGAUGGAUUGUAGGACAAAAGAGUUGUGUGGUCUCCUGUGUGCAGAUGUGGGCCUAUGAGCGCAAGGGCUAAUCCCUAACAAACUUCUUCAAGACAUGUACCUAUAAAAGCCGCAAUACAGGGAAGCAACCCUGAAAAACAGACAUAUGUACAUGUCCAUAAAGAGUCUCCCCCUUUGCUAUGUGCUUAGCUUGCUCUUAAAAGGGGGGAACUGCAAUCCACAUUCCGAGACCGUAGUUCCACUGUUUAUUGGCCAGAUUUGACGAGCCAAUCAUGAACCCUG
Molecule: long non-coding RNA, 386 nt
Filed under: Amborella trichopoda
Lineage: Eukaryota; Viridiplantae; Streptophyta; Magnoliopsida; Amborellales; Amborellaceae
Description: long non-coding RNA (ATRI_LNC000468)
Source: RNAcentral